RNAcentral lists this ribosomal RNA (253 nucleotides) under uncultured bacterium. RNAcentral describes it as "partial 16S ribosomal RNA". It matches the Rfam family "Bacterial small subunit ribosomal RNA", at positions 524 to 776 of the family's 1533-position model. The record is from RNAcentral.
UACGAAGGGGGCUAGCGUUGCUCGGAAUCACUGGGCGUAAAGCGCACGUAGGCGGCUUGUUAAGUCAGGGGUGAAAUCCUGGAGCUCAACUCCAGAACUGCCUUUGAUACUGGCGAGCUUGAGUUCGGGAGAGGUGAGUGGAACUGCGAGUGUAGAGGUGAAAUUCGUAGAUAUUCGCAAGAACACCAGUGGCGAAGGCGGCUCACUGGCCCGAUACUGACGCUGAGGUGCGAAAGCCAGGGGAGCAAACGGG